This is an RNA transcript of Globicephala melas (long-finned pilot whale), 3597 nucleotides long. It is a transcript of the gene named CTP synthase 1, with no coding region annotated. The record is from RefSeq and is a predicted model, not a curated record. NCBI's taxonomy places the organism in Eukaryota, Metazoa, Chordata, Mammalia, Artiodactyla, Delphinidae.
UGCCGGGCUGCGGGUCCCGGCAGCGCCCAUUUCAGCGCGGCCUGUCUCGCCUGACCAGGGUGCCAGGGUGGCUCGUGGGACGGAGAGGGCCGUAGAGGCUCGGGAGCCCCCUCUGCCCAGCCAGCCCCAAGCGGCUCGGCGGUCGCCGCUCCAUUCGGACUGCCGCGGCCCUCGCCCUCCGGCCUUAAGGCACGGCCUUAGCUUCGUUAGAGGGGGAUCAAGGUCCGAGCCACGCCCGCCGCGGUGGGGGAUGGGCUCGGCGGCCUGGCUGCGGCCCCCUCCGGCGCGCCCGGACUUCGGCGGGCGGAGGGGUCCUGGGAGCUCGCGGAGCCGGACGGCCUCCAGGUGCCGGGGAAAGGUCAACAAGUAAAAUGAAGUACAUUCUAGUUACUGGUGGUGUCAUAUCAGGAAUUGGAAAAGGAAUCAUCGCCAGCAGUGUGGGCACAAUACUCAAGUCGUGUGGUUUACAUGUAACCUCCAUUAAAAUUGACCCGUAUAUUAACAUUGAUGCAGGAACAUUCUCUCCUUAUGAGCAUGGUGAGGUUUUUGUGCUGGAUGAUGGUGGGGAAGUAGACCUUGACCUGGGUAACUAUGAACGUUUCCUUGACAUCCGCCUCACCAAGGACAAUAAUCUGACUACUGGAAAGAUCUAUCAGUACGUCAUUAACAAGGAACGCAAAGGAGAUUACUUGGGGAAAACUGUCCAAGUCGUCCCGCACAUCACAGAUGCAAUCCAGGAGUGGGUAAUGAGACAGGCGUUAAUACCCGUGGAUGAAGAUGGCCUGGAGCCUCAAGUGUGUGUUAUUGAGCUUGGUGGGACAGUAGGAGAUAUAGAAAGCAUGCCCUUUAUUGAGGCCUUCCGUCAAUUCCAGUUCAAGGUCAAAAGAGAGAACUUCUGUAACAUUCAUGUCAGUCUAGUUCCUCAGCCAAGUUCAACAGGGGAACAGAAGACUAAACCCACCCAGAACAGUGUUCGGGAACUCAGAGGGCUUGGGCUUUCCCCAGAUCUGGUUGUGUGCAGGUGCUCAAAUCCUCUCGACACGUCAGUGAAAGAGAAAAUAUCAAUGUUCUGCCAUGUUGAACCUGAACAAGUGAUCUGUGUCCACGAUGUCUCGUCCAUCUACCGAGUCCCCUUGUUGUUAGAAGAGCAGGGGGUUGUAGAUUAUUUUCUCCGGAGACUUGACCUUCCUAUUGAGAGGCAGCCACGGAAAAUGCUGAUGAAGUGGAAAGAGAUGGCUGACAGAUAUGAUCGCCUGCUGGAGACCUGUUCUAUUGCCCUCGUGGGCAAAUACACCAAGUUCUCAGACUCGUACGCCUCCGUCAUUAAAGCUCUGGAGCAUUCUGCACUGGCCAUAAACCACAAAUUGGAAAUCAAGUACAUAGAUUCCACGGACUUGGAGCCGAGCACCUUGCAGGAGGAGCCCGUGCGCUACCACGAGGCCUGGCAGAAGCUGUGCAGCGCUCAUGGCGUGCUGGUUCCAGGAGGAUUUGGUGUCCGAGGGACUGAAGGAAAAAUCCAAGCGAUCUCCUGGGCUCGGAAACAGAAGAAGCCUUUUUUGGGCGUGUGCUUAGGAAUGCAGUUGGCAGUGGUUGAAUUUUCAAGAAAUGUGCUGGGAUGGCAAGAUGCCAAUUCUACGGAGUUUGACCCUAACACCAAUCAUCCUGUGGUCAUAGACAUGCCAGAACACAACCCUGGCCAGAUGGGCGGAACCAUGAGGCUGGGCAAGAGGAGAACCCUGUUCCAGACCACGAACUCUGUCAUGAGGAAACUCUACGGAGAUGCAGAUUACCUGGAAGAGAGGCACCGCCACAGAUUUGAGGUGAAUCCAGCCUUGAAAAAGAGUUUGGAGGAGCAAGGCUUGAAGUUUGUUGGCCAAGAUGUUGAAGGAGAGAGAAUGGAAAUUGUGGAGUUGGAAGAUCAUCCCUUUUUCGUUGGAGUUCAGUAUCACCCUGAGUUCCUGUCCAGACCUAUCAAGCCUUCCCCACCGUACUUUGGCCUCCUCCUGGCCUCCGUGGGGAGGCUCCCUCAUUACCUCCAGAAAGGCUGCAGGCUCUCACCCAGGUGGGGUUACGCUCCCUUAGUCCCUCGAGUGGUCACUGAUGCCUUCCAGCGGGCCAUCAUCACACCAUCAGUGAUGAGCAAAACCACAGGAACGGGGAGCCUUGCUGGGCGCUUCUCAUGCUGACACGCAAGCUUCCUCUCCUUCUCUGGGGUUUUCUCAGGCUGCUUCUGUGCCACCCCUGGCCUUCCCCAGCCACCCGGCAUGGUGGCCAGGUCUCCCCCUCUGCAGCAUCUGGUGCCACGAUCACAUCUGGGACCCUGUAGUCAAUGGGGAACCGUGUUUCUUCAUCGGGGUGUCGGCCACAGCCUGGGUGGAUUUCAUGCCCUACUGCUACCUUUAUCUGGAACCAGUCGGUUACCCUGUCUCGGUGGUUAGGGCAUCAUGACUGAAGUAUAAAGCGAAUGUGUAUCUUCUGUAACAAGAAGAAGAAAAUGCCUUUGCAGCUUUCUGCUAAAUAUAUAAUGUCUCUGAUUUCUGCUGUGUGCAGACAAGCAUCCCUGUGGUAGUGGUGGCUAUAGAAUGAGGGAAGUGAAGCAAGUGUUUGGUGGGAGCUGAUGGAUAAACCAUCUGAAUUCUACAGGGACACCUACAGUGACAGAAGUGGGAGCAGCUCCCCUGACUCUGAAAUCACUGAACUGAAGUUUCCAUCAAUAAAUCAUGACUGAUGGUAACGGAUGAUUCUUGAAGAGAGCCUUUGGACUUCAGGAGUUUACAGCUUUGAUUUUACAUUCAGCUUUUGACACUUCCUUUAAAUUAUGUUUUUAUUAAGAUUAUUUUAUUUUGAGGGAAGGUAUUUGUGACUUGCAUGUCCCGCCAUGUGUCCCGGCUCCCGCACGCUGUGCUGACUGGUGUCCCACACUCUCCUUUGCGGUCCUCCAGCCUCGGGCGAGAAGCAGGACAUCCAGGCGGAGCGGGUGAUGGCCGGGUGCCAGGGGAGCCCAUCGGUCACCGCGCUUCUCCAGCCACCUUGCGUCACUGUGGCUUCGAGCGUGUAGCUGUUCCUUCCCCCGAUGCCGAGGCCAUUAUAAAAGGUGGGCCGUGCGGCCUGUGUGGGCAGAGAGGGGUGAGUCCAGCUGGUGCUCACAGCCCAGUGCCGGAACCCGAGGGCACUGCUUGAGCAAGAGCCGUGAAACCAGAAACAGAGUCGGCCCUGCCCUGUGCUGGAGGACUCGUUGUCCAAAAGGACGGUCAGUUUGGCGUCACACAGAACGGCAAGAACUCUGUCUCUCUGACGUCUGAGUUUAGAAGCCGCGCUUCUCUUCUCGGGAAUCACUCCUUGCAUCAAGGGGUCACUUAACAAAGAAUCUUUUGGGGAAACUGCCUCUAAACCCCUCUCAUAUGGGGUUUUGCUCGAGGGAACUUUACAGCUUUGCUCAAGGGGACUUUUGCCUUCCAGAAUGGUGUUACUACGGUUGAAAUGCAAUGUAUGAAAAGCUAUUUUCUUAAUGUGGUAUAACGACAGGCAGAGCUCGUGCCCAUUAUAUCCUGGCUGGACUCGGUGUAUACUCUAACUUAAGAAAUAAAUAACGCAGAG